GGCCUGAUAGCACUUUACUUUUUUAAAGACCUUCGUUUGAAGGUAUGCUUAAGGAGGGGCUUGCGACACAUUAGUUAGUUGGCAGGGUAAAGGCCUACCAAGACUAUGAUGUGUAGCUGGACUGAGAGGUUGAACAGCCACAUUGGGACUGAGACACGGCCCAAACUCCUACGGGAGGCAGCAGUAGGGAAUUUUCGGCAAUGGAGGAAACUCUGACCGAGCAACGCCGCGUGAACGAUGAAGUACCUCGGUAUGUAAAGUUCUUUUAUUAAGGAAGAAAAAAGAGUGGAAAAACUCCCUUGACAGUACUUAAUGAAUAAGCCCCGGCUAAUUAUGUGCCAGCAGCCGCGGUAAUACAUAAGGGGCGAGCGUUAUCCGGAAUUAUUGGGCGUAAAGGGUGCGUAGGCGGUUUAAUAAGUCUAUAGUUUAAUUUCAGCGCUUAACGCUGUUGUGCUAUAGAAACUGUUUUACUAGAGUGAGAUAGAGGCAAGCGGAAUUCCAUGUGUAGCGGUAAAAUGCGUAAAUAUAUGGAGGAACACCAGAGGCGUAGGCGGCUUGCUGGGUCUUUACUGACGCUGAGGCACGAAAGCGUGGGGAGCAAACAGGAUUAGAUACCCUGGUAGUCCACGCCGUAAACGAUGAGUACUAAGUGUCGGGUAAAACCGGUACUGAAGUUAACACAUUAAGUACUCCGCCUGAGUAGUACGUACGCAAGUAUGAAACUUAAAGGAAUUGACGGGACUCCGCACAAGCGGUGGAUCAUGUUGUUUAAUUCGAAGAUACACGAAAAACCUUACCCGGUCUUGACAUUUUCUUGCAAAGUUAUAGAAAUAUAAUGGAGGUUAUCA
RNAcentral lists this ribosomal RNA (848 nucleotides) under Mexican Amaranto seed phytoplasma. Its description in RNAcentral is "bacterial SSU rRNA". It matches the Rfam family "Bacterial small subunit ribosomal RNA", at positions 157 to 1023 of the family's 1533-position model. The record is from RNAcentral. Lineage: Bacteria; Bacillati; Mycoplasmatota; Mollicutes; Acholeplasmatales; Acholeplasmataceae.